Molecule: ribosomal RNA, 373 nt
Filed under: uncultured organism
Description: bacterial SSU rRNA
Rfam family: Bacterial small subunit ribosomal RNA
Source: RNAcentral
CGUAGGGUGCGAGCGUUGUCCGGAAUUAUUGGGCGUAAAGAGCUCGUAGGCGGCUUGUCGCGUCGACUGUGAAAACCCGCAGCUCAACUGCGGGCCUGCAGUCGAUACGGGCAGGCUAGAGUUCGGUAGGGGAGACUGGAAUUCCUGGUGUAGCGGUGAAAUGCGCAGAUAUCAGGAGGAACACCGAUGGCGAAGGCAGGUCUCUGGGCCGAUACUGACGCUGAGGAGCGAAAGCGUGGGGAGCGAACAGGAUUAGAUACCCUGGUAGUCCACGCUGUAAACGUUGGGCGCUAGGUGUGGGGGGCCUCUCCGGUUCCCUGUGCCGCAGCUAACGCAUUAAGCGCCCCGCCUGGGGAGUACGGCCGCAAGGCUA